Molecule: long non-coding RNA, 402 nt
Filed under: Homo sapiens (human)
Lineage: Eukaryota; Metazoa; Chordata; Mammalia; Primates; Hominidae
Description: HSALNT0370146
Source: RNAcentral
CACAGAAAGUGCUAAGUUUGUAAAAGAGUCUGAAAAGGUUCAGAAAAGUAGCAUAAAAGGAACUGGGGAACGCCCCGUGAAUUUUGAACAGAGAGCAGAAAAGGGACCCUAAAAAGCAAUUAGUGAUGCUGCUUGUAAAUGAAGAGGCACCUAGUUUGGGGUGGGGAGCUGAGUCUGGAGGUACAUUUUUGACUCUAUGGGAAGCUAUGUUAUAGAAAGCUCAGUGAACAAGAUGGACACCCACAUUGUAGAAAUAUUUCCUCCCAUCUCACUUUAACAGAAAAAAAGCCCAAACAAACAAAAACAAGACAAAUUGAAAAAGAGCUUCAAGUAGAGAAAGCAUCAAGAAUAUAGAACUACAUUUCUUUGUCAAAAUAUUUAUAAUAAAAAGAAAUGACAUCA